Molecule: transfer RNA, 72 nt
Filed under: Fukomys damarensis (Damara mole-rat)
Lineage: Eukaryota; Metazoa; Chordata; Mammalia; Rodentia; Bathyergidae
Rfam family: tRNA
About the family: Transfer RNA (tRNA) molecules are approximately 80 nucleotides in length.
Source: Rfam by way of RNAcentral
GGGGGUGUAGCUCAGUGGCAGAGUACUUGCCUAGCACAUAUGAGGCCUUGGGUUCCAUCCCCAGCACUGCCA